GCAUGGUAAACAUGAAAUGAUUUUAGAAUUGCUUUCAUGACAAAUUGAUGCAUUAAUUGGGUCACUUACAUGUACUGCUGAAGUUGUGAGUUAAUGUUUGCUAUUGACCUUUCUAUUUUAUCCUUUUAAUUGAUAAUGUCUACAGGCAGAUAAAAAGGAUAUUGUUAGUACGCAGGACCAGGCUCUUAAAGAGGCUUUUGAGGUCUUUUGCAACAAAGGUGUUGCUGGAAACUCUAGUGCAGAACUUCUUGCCACUUUUUGUGAUAACAUUCUCAACAAAGGAUGUUUUCAUUAUUUUAUGGACUUUGGCAGUACAUGUUCAACAAGUUAGAGCUUCAUGUACUCAUUUUAGGGAAUGACAAGGCUGGCAAAACGACUUUGCUUGAGAAGAUGAAGUCGGUGUACACGAAUGUAGAAGGUCUUCCUCCGG
Long non-coding RNA from Vicia villosa (hairy vetch), 430 nucleotides. RefSeq lists it as uncharacterized. The record is from RefSeq and is a predicted model, not a curated record. NCBI's taxonomy places the organism in Eukaryota, Viridiplantae, Streptophyta, Magnoliopsida, Fabales, Fabaceae. The transcript is spliced from 3 exons.